GAAACAUUGAUAUGGUGUGUUAAGUGUAAAGUAUUAACAUAAGAAACGUUAGUUUGGGAUGGGUAUGUUGUAUUUGAUAUUUCAGAUCUGUAUGUCUAGUGUAGCAGUUGGUGUGUAUGAACACAAUGUUGGCUAAGUCUUACUUUUUGCGGACUAACAGGCACAGAGAAGAAAUAGAGUACAAAUAUUAGUGUAAAAUUGGUAUGUCGUAUUUUGAUCGUCAUUACUGUAUGUCUAUUAUAUUAGUUCAAGUGCAUGAAUACAAUGUUAGAUAAGUCAUACAUGUUGUCCUUUAACUGUUACAUGGUUUGGAUUAACAGGUACAGGACAGAAAGAGAACAUAAAUGUUAGAUUGAAAAUGGAAUAUGGUAUUUGGGACUGCAUUGAUGUAUGUUUAUUGUAAUAGGUGUUGUGCAUGAACAAAAUGUUGGAUAAGUGUUACAUGGUGUGGAUUAACAAGUACAGAGAAGAAACAGAGUAGAAAUGUUAGUGUAUAAUUGGUAUGUCAUAUUUGAGACUUCGUUGGUGUAUGUUUAUUGUAUUCGUUGCUAUGCAUAAACACAAUGUUGGAUAACUGUUACAUGUUGUGGAUUAACAGGAAUAGGACACAAAUAGAAUAGAAUUGAUCGUUUGAAUUUUAUAU
This 643-nucleotide long non-coding RNA is filed under the name Coffea arabica (coffee). RNAcentral describes it as "long non-coding RNA (CARA_LNC006606)". The record is from RNAcentral. Lineage: Eukaryota; Viridiplantae; Streptophyta; Magnoliopsida; Gentianales; Rubiaceae.